This 609-nucleotide ribosomal RNA is filed under the name uncultured bacterium. Its description in RNAcentral is "bacterial SSU rRNA". It matches the Rfam family "Bacterial small subunit ribosomal RNA", at positions 33 to 651 of the family's 1533-position model. The record is from RNAcentral.
ACGCUGGCGGCGCGCAUAACACAUGCAAGUCGAGCGAGGGCUCAUUUCCCGCAAGGGAGAUGGGUUCCUAGCGGCGAACGGGUGAGUAACACGUGGGCAACCUUUCCUAUCGCGGGGGAUAACAGCGGGAAACCGCUGCUAAUACCGCAUGUCGUCAUCGGUCGCAUGGCCGGUGAAGAAAGCAGCAAUGCACGAUGGGGUGGGCCCGCGGCCUAUCAGCUAGUCGGUGGGGUAACGGCCUACCGAGGCGAUGACGGGUAGCUGGUCUGAGAGGACGACCAGCCACACGGGGACUGAGACACGGCCCCGACUCCUACGGGAGGCAGCAGUGAGGAAUCUUCCGCAAUGGGCGAAAGCCUGACGGAGCGACGCCGCGUGUGGGAUGAAGUCCUUCGGGAUGUAAACCACUGUUGGAGGGGAAGACUUCGACGGUACCCUCCGAGAAAGCCCCGGCUAACUACGUGCCAGCAGCCGCGGUAAUACGUAGGGGGCAAGCGUUAUCCAGAUUUACUGGGCGUAAAGCGCGUGUAGGCGGCUGGUUAAGUGUGAUGUGAAAUCUUCGGGCUCAACCCGAAAACUGCAUUGCAAACUGGCCUUGCUAAAGUUGCA